CCCUUAGAUGUCCUGGGCCGCACGCGCGUUACACUGAUGCAUUCAACGAGCUUAUAACCUUGGCCGAGAGGCCUGGGCAAUCUUGUUAACGUGCAUCGUGAUAGGGAUAGAUUAUUGAAAUUAUUAAUCUUGAACGAGGAAUUCCUAGUAAACGCAGAUCAUCAAUCUGCAGUGAUUACGUCCCUGCCCUUUGUACACACCGCCCGUCGCACCUACCGAUUGGAUGGUCCGGUGAAGCCUCGGGAUUGUGGUUCUUGCCGCUUUAUUGUGGCGUGACCGCGAGAACUUGUCUAAACCUUAUCAUCUAGAGGAAGGUGAAGUCGUAACA
This 328-nucleotide ribosomal RNA is filed under the name uncultured eukaryote. Its description in RNAcentral is "partial 18S ribosomal RNA". It matches the Rfam family "Eukaryotic small subunit ribosomal RNA", at positions 1470 to 1796 of the family's 1831-position model. The record is from RNAcentral.